This 510-nucleotide ribosomal RNA is filed under the name Dysponetus hesionides. RNAcentral describes it as "partial 16S ribosomal RNA". It matches the Rfam family "Bacterial large subunit ribosomal RNA", at positions 1829 to 2597 of the family's 2925-position model. Lineage: Eukaryota; Metazoa; Annelida; Polychaeta; Phyllodocida; Chrysopetalidae. The record is from RNAcentral.
UGCCUUUCGUUUAGUUUAUGUAAGGUUUAUCCUGCCCAGUGAACUACGGUUUUAACGGCCGCGGUAUUCUGACCGUGCAAAGGUAGCAUAAUCAUUUGCCUCUUAAUUGGAGGCUGGUAUGAAUGGAUUCACGAGGGACUUAUUGUCUCAUUUGCAAGCAUAGAAAUUAAUAUACAGGUGAAGAAGCCUGUAUACAUCUAAAAGACAAGAAGACCCUAUCGAGUUUUAUUAAUAUUUUCACGUUCUAGAAACUUUUAGUAUUCUAGAAUAAGAGGUAAUAAUUUGAUUGGGGCGAUUAGAGAAUUAGACAAGCUUCUCUUUUUUUAAGAACCUGCUUCGUAUAAAUGAUCCAUAGGUAUGAUUAAGAGAAUUACACUACCGUAGGGAUAACAGGCUAAUUUCUUUAGAGAGUUCAUAUUGACAGGGAAGAUUGGCACCUCGAUGUUGGCUUAGAUUAUCCUUUGUAUGCAGCAGUAUAAAAGGGUUGGUUUGUUCAACCAUUAAAAUUCU